This is a long non-coding RNA of Magnolia sinica, 1515 nucleotides long. RefSeq lists it as uncharacterized. NCBI's taxonomy places the organism in Eukaryota, Viridiplantae, Streptophyta, Magnoliopsida, Magnoliales, Magnoliaceae. The record is from RefSeq and is a predicted model, not a curated record. The transcript has 9 exons.
AACAGGAAUGACAGAAUUCUGCAAGAUUGAGAUUGUGCUUUGUUAACUCAAUUUCUCCAGAAAUCAUUCAGAAGGCAGGAUCACAGGAUUGAUGUAAAAUCUUUUUCUGAUGAAAGUUUGAACACAUGCUGGUGAUCCAAUCACAUAGACGUCCAAAUGAAUGUGUCUUCGGCUAGGAUCAGGUUUGUCAAUUCGUCAGGAGUCUAGGACACUUUCACCAAAGAGUAGACCUGAUGAAUGGAAAGGGUCUCAUAAACAAAUGCCACACCAACACAUGUGAGGGCCCUUCUAUUUCUCCUCUGCAAAAGUACAUCUAUAAGAAGCACUUCUUAACCCCUUCGAAUGUAGCUUGAAUUUUGUUGAAGAAACAACCUAGAUAUAAACUGGGCAUGCAGCUUAGGGCAGGGGAAAGGAGAUGAUCAGGAGGGACCCCUGAACUACAGUGGAUCUACAUGAGAGUCCAUAGAUGUCAGUGGGCUGCAUCACUCUUCCAUUGAGCUUUCCUCUCCUCCCAUUCAUAACAAUAAAGGCAACAUGAACAAUGCGAAAGCUUCAUUAACUCCUUAGCUAGUCAUUAUUUACAAAAUAUCAAAAGUUGAUGGGGUUUCUAUAUCAAGCUGGGCUAGCCUUACAUCGGACAGCGAGAGGGGAAACAUUCGUGGACCUCAGCAGCGAACAUUUCCCUGCAAACCAAAAAAUAGCAAGAAGUUUAUCACUCCUUUGUUAUAUUUAUGCCAGGAAAAAAAAAAGGACAAGGUUCCCCUGUUUUCAGUGCAAGAAGCGCACUAGUUCCCCUGGGAUAUCCCCAUCUGCAGUUACUUAAUCAUCGCAAUGUAAGGGAGCUUAAGUGAAUAUCUCUACUUUCUGAUGGCUCACUGAGAUGCUACAUACUUGGUGGAAGUUUCAGAUACAGGUCAAAUAUCGUGCUCCAAGCCACCUAUUGAUGACCUGGCUACAAUUUUGUCCCUUCCAACGAAGACCAUUCUAUGAACGGAUUCGGCCAAACUUCCAUCCAAUACAACAGCUUGUAUUAGAGAAGGCAGACCUGGUACCUCUCAUCCCUUUGAUCUUCAAGUAUUUGAAGGGGGAUACAAGUGGAAGUAAAGGUUUUCUCUGCAAUUGAGGGUCUGUGGUCCAUUCAUGGAUGGGGCUCACUUGAUUGUAUGGUUAAAUGAUCAAGAUCACCACAGUGCUACCCUACCGUCGUUGGUGAUUCUACAGAAGAUGGAGAAUUUGAGCUACCUGAUUUUAGCUGCAUAGUCAGACUAUGAAGACUAGCAUCUGCUGGCACCUAUGUUUGUGGUUGAUUGUACAAAAAACAUGCGGAUAGUAGAAUCCAAGCUAUUUGUAGCUCUAUCCUUGGGUUGAGUUAGAAGGCCAAUGUAUAAUGAAUAUUUGAGUGUUGGAAGAAAGGUUGUAUUUAUUUUAGAAUGUAUGUAAAAUGGAUCAGUAGCCUAACUGCUAUGCUGUUUUUACUGUGCUAUAUUGUAAGGAAUUGAUCAGCCAUUGUUUUUA